AGAGUUUGAUCAUGGCUCAGAUUGAACGCUGGCGGCAUGCCUUACACAUGCAAGUCGAACGGCAGCGCGGGAGCAAUCCUGGCGGCGAGUGGCGAACGGGUGAGUAAUACAUCGGAACGUGCCCAAUCGUGGGGGAUAACGCAGCGAAAGCUGUGCUAAUACCGCAUACGAUCUACGGAUGAAAGCAGGGGAUCGCAAGACCUUGCGCGAAUGGAGCGGCCGAUGGCAGAUUAGGUAGUUGGUGAGGUAAAGGCUCACCAAGCCUUCGAUCUGUAGCUGGUCUGAGAGGACGACCAGCCACACUGGGACUGAGACACGGCCCAGACUCCUACGGGAGGCAGCAGUGGGGAAUUUUGGACAAUGGGCGAAAGCCUGAUCCAGCCAUGCCGCGUGCAGGAUGAAGGCCUUCGGGUUGUAAACUGCUUUUGUACGGAACGAAACGGUCUUUUCUAAUACAGAAGGCUAAUGACGGUACCGUAAGAAUAAGCACCGGCUAACUACGUGCCAGCAGCCGCGGUAAUACGUAGGGUGCAAGCGUUAAUCGGAAUUACUGGGCGUAAAGCGUGCGCAGGCGGUUAUGUAAGACAGUUGUGAAAUCCCCGGGCUCAACCUGGGAACUGCAUCUGUGACUGCAUAGCUAGAGUACGGUAGAGGGGGAUGGAAUUCCGCGUGUAGCAGUGAAAUGCGUAGAUAUGCGGAGGAACACCGAUGGCGAAGGCAAUCCCCUGGACCUGUACUGACGCUCAUGCACGAAAGCGUGGGGAGCAAACAGGAUUAGAUACCCUGGUAGUCCACGCCCUAAACGAUGUCAACUGGUUGUUGGGUCUUCACUGACUCAGUAACGAAGCUAACGCGUGAAGUUGACCGCCUGGGGAGUACGGCCGCAAGGUUGAAACUCAAAUGAAUUGACGG
RNAcentral lists this ribosomal RNA (912 nucleotides) under uncultured Variovorax sp. RNAcentral describes it as "bacterial SSU rRNA". It matches the Rfam family "Bacterial small subunit ribosomal RNA", at positions 8 to 916 of the family's 1533-position model. Lineage: Bacteria; Pseudomonadati; Pseudomonadota; Betaproteobacteria; Burkholderiales; Comamonadaceae. The record is from RNAcentral.